GAACUAUAUUCUAUAUCCUGUGAUAAACCAUAAUGGAAAAUAACAAGAAAAGGAAUAUUUAUAUGUAUAUAAAUAUAUAACUGGAUCACUUUGCGGUUCAGUAGAAAUAUUGUCAAUCAGCUAUACAUAAAUAAAACAAAAUUUUUAAAAACUUAAACUCUAUUAUCUGUCCUCAAUCCUUCUCAGUCUCUGUGAUCCCCAGUUCAGUCCAGAAUUUAACCUUCAAACCAACACAGUACUGACCGCUUAGGAUUCUGCCACUGCCUUGAGAGAGGGAGCACAUAGGACAAGAGGGUGCAGCUUGGUUACUGAAAGCACUCUGGGCUCUACUACCAGGGCACCCAGCCUUCAGCCAUUAAGGCAGUAAAGGAUUUAUAAAGGACAGGAGAGUCACAGGACUGGCAUUCUUUCUGUGGGAGUGGAGGAGCCCAAAGCUGUCUUCCUUCCUAGGAUCUUCCCCACCAUUCACGGCUUGCUGCUAUUAUAAUGCUGCCUGUUUGCUCUGUGUUGGUUUCCCUUUAGAAGAAGGCUGCAGACCUGAGCAGAGUGUGCCACAGGCUGUACUGCUUGCUGCCAUGCCCUAAUACAAGGAUGAGGAGGAGAACCCAAGUUCAGUAAAGACCCUUCCUAGGUUUUCAUAACUCAAUGGACAAAAAUGGCUAAAAGCCUCCAUAUAUACCAAAUCAAUGGAGGGAGAAGCCCAAUGUUAAUGACAUUUUUAUAAUGGUCAAGACUUUCAGGUAGUCGAAAGCGGUUCUCUUGUGAAUUAAUGGUUACGUCUACAACUAUUUGCACUGCCUCCACUGAAUGGGGGUUUGGAGAAAAAAAAAAUGAAGUUAAGUCAUUUCCAGGUGACUAGCACUGUAGGCUAACUGAAAAAAAAAAAAAAGGGAAAUCUCCAGAAGUUCCAAUUCCAUGACCCAUGCAGGGGGACUUUGGAAGGAGUCAUUCAAGCCAAAGAAACAGAGCUGAUAGAAAUUCAUCUUAAAGUGUGGAUUCCGAGCAGUUGCAGACGGAGAACCUGGUAGCUCUAAAGUACUAUAGGAGCUCGGAUUCAAGACGUACCCAACCCUUACCAAAGGGGAAACAUGGGGUGGGGAAGGGAUACACUGGGAGGUUGGGAUUAACAUAUACACACUACUACACAUAAAAUAGAUAAGUAACAAGGACCUACUCUAUAGUACAAGGAAUUCUCCUCAAUAUUCUGCAAUAACCUAUAUGGGAGAAAGAAUCUGAAAAAGGAUGGAUGUAGGUAUAUGUAUAACUGAAUCCCUUUGUUGCACAUCUGAAACUAACACAAUACUGUAAGUCAGCUAGACUUCAAUAUAAAACAAAAAAUAAAUUUUUAAAAAGAACUAUUCCAACACAGACCUAUAUGGGAUGAGGAAUAGCAUGGCACGUAGAAGAUAACAAAAUCGUAUUCUGGAAUUAGAUGCAAAGGGGGAGGGGAGGUGAAGACCUAUACAUGGACCUGGCAGAGACAUUUUCCUUAAGCAUUCCUGACCAAAUCUUUUACCAGUUCUCUAAUGAGUUGAGAUAGGAAAUUGUGCGAUUGCUCAAAUGUAUAUGAUUGGUAGUCUCAUGUGUAUGUGAGUUUAUAUAUAUUUGCUUGUUAAAGCCACUUAGUAAGGUAGACCUAGUACAUUCUUUGGUAUGGGUUUAAUUAUCCUCAUUCCAUCCUUUUUGUGUUCACAAUAAGGCCCAAGGUGGAAUUCCCCAGCAAAUGUCAUGAUGAAUAAUUACCUGGACUGGAUGUACCCAAUGGACAAUCAUAACCAGAUUCGGGUGAUUAGAGUAAGCAAACAUUAGCCGCAACCCUUCCAGAAUGUUGUUCCAGCAGGAUUAUUCCUAUGUGGAUAUGUCACACACUGGCAGGAUACAGGGCUGCAGAAGAAGGGGCCCAAGAGGUUUCUCUGUGAUAUCUAACUCUCCUCAUAGAGGACCUCGUUUGACAGAACUUAAUGACCUGCUUAUCCCCAAAUCAUCUUCAUCAGCCGGACAUGCCUGAAAUUCUUCUCUCUCUUUGUAAAAACAAGCAUGAUGUUAAUAUGUAAUUGAGGGAAAGUGGUGUUUGACACACUUAGCUUCUACUCAGGCACUGUUAAGUCCAUGUCUUCAGAUUGACUAGCAAGGGGUCUUGGAUAUGGUGAACAGACAAAUCUAAAGCUGGGUCCAGUGGUUGCAAAGGUAAAAAUGUAAUUAUGAAUUUAAAAUUUUUUUGAAAUCCCAGGAGUACUAGAAGGACCAAGAUAUUAUCACAGGCAUGAAACAGGGUCAUUUUAAUGGAGGAAGAGAAGGAUAGGGCAAUAGAUUUGGGUGGAAGGGAAGUGUGGGGGGCCAUCAGUGCCAGAGAGCAUCGCAGCAUUUGUACGGGGAAGGGGAGGAAAGGAAAGGAGUGGGAAUCAGCUGGUUCUGAAAAGCAAAAUGUCACAAUGUUGCCUUGGGUGGCCCUCGUGUUUCCACUUAGCCCUUCAAAUUUUUGCUGUCAUUUGCAGCGAAAGAAAAAGUAGAGGAAAAGUGGACAAAGAAAAUGUCCUCCUUUCUUGAACAUAAAAUAUGAAUAGAGUGGGCCCUCAAUUCACUGUUUCCUGCGUCCUUACUCUGUAUGCCAAGCCCUGAUCCCAGCACUCUCCAAACCCUAGGCUAAGACCAGGCUGUAGAGUACACACACAUAGCGACCUGCCACUGAAAACACCUCAUGAUCCACUUAGACUGAGGCUUCUUAUCUAAAUAUUCCCAAGGUUUGUCUCAAAACAGAAAUAGACUUCACACUUCUGAGAAAGGUUUGUAAUUAUUGAUUAUUUAUUUAUGUAUUGCCAUAGAGCUUAGAAACAAUAUGCAAAAAUUAAGCACUAUGAAAGAAACAAAAUAGACCCUCAGUGGGCAUGCAAGUGGUUUUAGUUUAAAAGACCAUCAUGUGCCUGACAUCUGGGCAGAAUACCAACAGCUCCUAAUGCAGCUCUCAAUUCCAGCUGCCAAAAUGAGCUUUAAUAAUGUCUUUUAGGAAAUAGAUUUCCCAGCCCCCAUGCCUCAAAAUAUCAUGAAAGAUCUAAAGAGGUAAAAUUAAAGUGGUGAGGGAUACACUAAACGAAGCAGGCCAUGCCUUUUCUGAGUGGGGAGGCGACUCACCUCAAGGUGAAGGAAGGGCAGUGCCUCCAUCUGAGUGUGGGGUCUUCCUGCCUUGGUUGGAGAGCGCCACCUACUGUACCUGCCCCACUACGCUUGCCACAAGGUCCCUCCACGCAUUCCAAAUUCCCAAGGCUUUCGAAGCCCAGGGCCAGCUUUAGUAUUUAUAAGCAUCAACUGAACAAAUGUGUCUUGGACGGUGUGAUAAAGAGGAAGGAAUGGUCAGCGCUGUAGCUUGGAAAGGGGCCUUUAUGGGAGAUUGGAUGGAGGAUUGUAGAUUUCUUUUUACCACCCAGACUCCUGUUCUGACUCUCUCUACGCCAGCCCACUUUCUCAGCCUUAUCUGCCACCCAUCCUUUCUUCCAAGAACCAAACUGGACUCCUCAACAUCUCUUCUGUUGUUUCUCAUGACUUCGUUCACUCCGUUCCCAUUGCCUCAGCCUCAUCACUGAGUCAAAACCCGUGUAUCUUGCAAUGAUUAGUUAAGAAUUUUUUUUCUCUGCAUGCAGGCUUUCUUUCCAGUUUUUACCAUUCUUCAUACCACACAUGGUCAAGAGCAAUUAUGUUUCAAUUAAACUACCUAGUGACAUCUUUUGGCCGUUUUACUAUUUAAUUUUUGCCUGGUUCUCUAGGUAGUCAUGUGCUUUGGGGUGACCUCGGGGCAGGUUUUUAAGCUCCUGGAGGGCAUCAGUGACUUGAGAUAUUCAUUUACAUCACACAGCACCCAGAACAGGGCCUGGGAGCUGACAGACACUUUCUUUUGGUCUCACCAUUUUACUCCCAAACUUCUCUCACUAUAUUCUGCAGAAUUCCUCGUAGGAGCUUCCCUUUGUGAAGGAGCUCUGGACCCAGUUGUUAACCAGGUACCCUGUGCUCUCUUACGUUCACAAUGCAGAGGACACGAGGAUGGGGUGAGGAUGGGGAACAGUGGAAAGAAGUACCAGCAAAGCCGAAGAGUGAAUCAUUUCUUCUUUGCUUCGAGAAGUUCUCAUGAUCCAAUAAGCCAAUGAGCCUAAUUUUCAUGACCCAACUAUGCUAUGGAAAUUCUUGAAUUCCUUGCUUUGAUUAACAUUUAGCAACAGAUUAAUGCACAGAGCACAAUAUAAAGCAGAAUGACAGAGAGUAUCUUAGCGGAAGAGAGUAAACCGAGUUUGGUUUCCAGCUCUAUCAGGUGUAUCUCAUGGAACCUUGGGCAUGUUUCCUGAUAACUUGCUCCCUCAUAUGCAAAAUAAGAUAACAUUCACCUAAUAGGAUUUUUGUGAGAAUUAAAAGAGUAAUAUCUACAAAGCACUUAUCGCAGUGCCUAAGGGUAAGUAUUGUUGGUAGUGAUUAUAUUCACAAGACCUAGCAGGAACCUGGCACACAGGAAAUACUCAACAGCUCCCCCCUACACAGAUGCAUGUACACAUCUGUAUUAAAGUCAAAUAGAAUAGACAAUAAUAGAUCACAGACCCUAGGCACAGAGUUUGACCAAACCCUGGGUGCUAGGAGUAUGCAAAGAUCUAGUCUCAGCUCCAUCCUCAGCAUCCAACACUUGUUCAAAUGUUUAACACCAUCUGCUCUUUUUGCACUGAUCUUCUCUGACUCUCUGAGCUCUUCUCCCAGUUUCUACUUCUGGGCCCUUCUGUGAUGAUGGCCCAGUGGGGGCAUCCCCCUGUAGUCCACUCCUUUCAGUAAAGGAUGUUCCUUCCCAUCCUUCCAGGGAAUCCCUUCUGAUCUCACCAAGGGAGGGAAAUGGGCCACAAUGAUCUAAGGGAGUUACUAACAAAAGCAAAAACAUCAGUCAUCUACUUGAGAGAUGAACACACUCUCAAUUUCAUGAUCAGAUUUUGACGAGUUGCAGGAAAAUAAUGUAUUCCACAUUUGAAGGUUGCACAUUCGCCUGUCCACUGUUCAUGCUCACCUUUGUUAAUUUUUACAAUAACCUAUAAAUCCAUGUCCUGCAAAUGUGACGUGCCAAAACCUCUUGCAAAGGGAGGCUCAUCACACACAUAUGCAGAACCCAAAAGGUGUGAACUUGUCAGAGUUUGUCCUUGGUUUGUUUUAGCACCAUUUCCUGGCAAACUGCUUUGUGCGAGUCGCUGUUUUUCCCAUUAUUUUGCUCUCAGCUAGUUGCCAAUGAAUAUCCCUCAGGUGUGGAUUGACAUUGCCUUAAGGUGUUUUAAG
This 5292-nucleotide long non-coding RNA is filed under the name Sus scrofa (pig). RNAcentral describes it as "lncRNA (ENSSSCG00000053505.1)". Lineage: Eukaryota; Metazoa; Chordata; Mammalia; Artiodactyla; Suidae. The record is from RNAcentral.